UGAGGAAUAUUGGUCAAUGGACGGAAGUCUGAACCAGCCAUGCCGCGUGAAGGAUGAAGGCGUUCUGCGUUGUAAACUUCUUUUAUCUGGGAAGAAACCACAGAUUUCUAUUUGUGUUGACGGUACCAGAAGAAUAAGCACCGGCUAACUCCGUGCCAGCAGCCGCGGUAAUACGGAGGGUGCGAGCGUUAUCCGGAUUUACUGGGUUUAAAGGGUGCGUAGGCGGGCUAUUAAGUCAGAGGUGAAAUCUCCGGGCUCAACCUGGAAACUGCCUUUGAUACUAUUAGCCUUGAAUUAUGUUGAGGUUGGCGAAUAUAACAUGUAGCGGUGAAAUGCUUAGAUAUGUUAUGGAACACCGAUUGCGAAGGCAGCUGGCUAAACAUAUAUUGACGCUGAUGCACGAAAGCGUGGGUAGCGAACA
Molecule: ribosomal RNA, 421 nt
Filed under: uncultured bacterium
Lineage: Bacteria
Description: bacterial SSU rRNA
Rfam family: Bacterial small subunit ribosomal RNA
Source: RNAcentral